RNAcentral lists this signal recognition particle RNA (300 nucleotides) under Cebus imitator (Panamanian white-faced capuchin). RNAcentral's name for it is "Metazoan signal recognition particle RNA (ENSCCAG00000005664.1)". It matches the Rfam family "Metazoan signal recognition particle RNA". From Rfam's summary of the family: The signal recognition particle (SRP) is a universally conserved ribonucleoprotein. It is involved in the co-translational targeting of proteins to membranes. The record is from Rfam by way of RNAcentral. Lineage: Eukaryota; Metazoa; Chordata; Mammalia; Primates; Cebidae.
GCUGGGCGCAGUGGUGCGUGCCUGUAGUCCCAGCUACUCGGGAGGCUGAGGGUGGGAGGAUCGCUUGAGUCCAGGAGUUCUGGGCUGUAGUGCGCGAUGCCGAUCCGGUGUCCACACUAAGUUCGGCAACAAUAUGGUGACCUCCUGGGAGCAGGGAACCACCAGGUUGCCUAGAGACGGGUGAACCAGCCCAGGUCGGAAAUUGAGCAGGUCAAAACUCCCGUGCUGAUCAGUAGCGGGACUGCACCUGUGAACAGCCACUGCACUCCAGCCUGGGCAGCAUAGCGAGACCCCAUCUAU